AGUGGGGGAUAUUGCGCAAUGGGGGAAACCCUGACGCAGCGACGCCGCGUGUAGGAAGAAGGCCUUCGGGUCGUAAACUACUGUCAAGAGGGAAGAAACUGUUGGACAUUAAUACGGUCCUUCACUGACGGUACCUCUAGAGGAAGCACCGGCUAACUCCGUGCCAGCAGCCGCGGUAAUACGGAGGGUGCGAGCGUUAAUCGGAAUCACUGAGCGUAAAGCGUGCGUAGGCGGCGUAUCAAGUCAGGCGUGAAAGCCCUCGGCUCAACCGGGGAAUUGCGCUUGAAACUGGUAUGCUAGAGUCUCGGAGAGGUUGGCGGAAUUCCAGGUGUAGGAGUGAAAUCCGUAGAUAUCUGGAGGAACACCGGUGGCGAAGGCGGCCAACUGGACGAGUACUGACGCUGAGGUACGAAAGCGUGGGUAGCAAACAGGAUUAGAUACCCUGGUAGUCCACGCUGUAAGCGAUGGAUAUUAGGUGUCGGGGUUUUACUUCGGUGCCGCAGUUAACGCGUUAAAUAUCCCGCCUGGGGAGUACGGUCGCAAGGCUG
Molecule: ribosomal RNA, 548 nt
Filed under: uncultured bacterium
Lineage: Bacteria
Description: bacterial SSU rRNA
Rfam family: Bacterial small subunit ribosomal RNA
Source: RNAcentral